Non-coding RNA from Ictidomys tridecemlineatus (thirteen-lined ground squirrel), 1221 nucleotides. Lineage: Eukaryota; Metazoa; Chordata; Mammalia; Rodentia; Sciuridae. The record is from RefSeq and is a predicted model, not a curated record.
AAGGAAGAUCACACAAUUCAAAAACUAUGCCCAGACUUUGGUAAGCCUGGUGGAUGCAGAGGUGGACUUGGAAUUAGUUCCACCUGCCUGAGGGGCUCUGUGCUGUGCUCCCAGGAGCCUUAAGGGUCCUCCUUCAGCAAGUGCAAGUUUACAGAAUCCUGGCCCCACCACCUCCCAUCCUUUGACCUUGGACCAGCUUCAUAAACCUGCUGGGCCUCAGCUUCCCCAUCCAUGAAAUGGGGUUGAGCAUAACCCUAUUUGAUCAUUGCAAAUAUUAAGAUAAAUUAGUUCCCAUUCCACAACCAGCACAGAACCUCUUUGACCCCGUCUGGUUGAUUUCACAGCUUCCAGUGCUGCACUAGCCGAUUACUGGCUGUAACAACCUCAUUCUGCAAAAAUCACACUGGCUUUUACAGGUCUUUACGGGAAGGAAAUAGGCUAAUGCACUGUUUUCCCAUGUAUGUCAGUAGCCCAAUCUCUCUCUAAUGGGCUCAAAUUGCAGUUUUAAAACCUAAACCAUGAACUUAAACUCUCUCGCAGACAUGUGCAGGAGAGAAAUCCUUACUUCUUAUGCUUCUAGUGCAAAAAAAAAAAAGACAGAGAAAAACAUGUGGCCUGCCUUCCUCUGAACAACAGACUGCAAAAAGAGGCGUAGCAAAGUGACUGUGACCUCAAUAGAACUUUUCCUGCUAAAAGGCUACUUUUUGAACACUGCUGCCAUAUUCCCACAGCAGACGCCCAGGCCCUCUGAGCUGCUUGGAUUGGUGCUGCUGUUAAGGACAUUGCCUUCAAUCAACAAGUUCUAGCCAAGAAAUCGGUACAUGUUGCAGAACAGUACAUGGGCAUCAUUUAACCGGAGACCUAUAGCGGUUCUAUGAGGUAGACACUACACCCAAUUCUAUAAUUGAGGAAAUAGACUUUGAUAUGGUCAGUUACUUGUCCAGAGUCUCACAAUUGGUGAGUGGCAGGGACAAGACCGCAGCCAGGGCAUAUUGACUUCGGAAGUCACACUCUCUCUCUACUGUCCACAGCCUUCAUCCUGGCUGGAUUCUGGUCCUGCCCUCUGAUAGACUGACCUACCCCAUUAACAUCCAAUGCCCAUCAUGAAAAACACAGAUGUAUUGGCUAGACAAAGCAAGAGGAACUCGUCACCCAAACCAUGUACUGUAUCAUUUUACGUGCUCUCCAUGAACAAAAUAAACUUUUCUUCUUUGUAGUUGA